This 245-nucleotide ribosomal RNA is filed under the name uncultured bacterium. RNAcentral's name for it is "partial 16S ribosomal RNA". It matches the Rfam family "Bacterial small subunit ribosomal RNA", at positions 524 to 768 of the family's 1533-position model. The record is from RNAcentral.
AACGUAGGAGGCAAGCGUUAUCCGGAUUUACUGGGCGUAAAGCGCAUGCAGGUGGCGUUGCAAGUCUGGUGUGAAAGCCCCUGGCUUAACUGGGGGAGUGCGCUGGAAACUGCAAGGCUGGAGGUCGGAAGAGGAAAGCGGAAUUCCCGGUGUAGUGGUGGAAUGCGUAGAUAUCGGGAGGAACACCAGUGGCGAAGGCGGCUUUCUGGUCCGGACCUGACACUAAGAUGCGAAAGCGUGGGGAG